AUUGAACGCUGGCGGCAUGCUUUACACAUGCAAGUCGAACGGUAACAGGCCUUCGGGUGCUGACGAGUGGCGAACGGGUGAGUAAUGCAUCGGAACGUACCCAGAGGUGGGGGAUAACGCAGCGAAAGCUGUGCUAAUACCGCAUGUGAUCUGAGGAUGAAAGCGGGGGACCGAGCAGCAAUGUUUGGCCUCGCGCCUUUGGAUCUGCCGAUGUCGGAUUAGCUAGUUGGUGGGGUAAAGGCCUACCAAGGCGACGAUCCGUAGCUGGUCUGAGAGGACGACCAGCCACACUGGGACUGAGACACGGCCCAGACUCCUACGGGAGGCAGCAGUGGGGAAUUUUGGACAAUGGGCGCAAGCCUGAUCCAGCAAUGCCGCGUGCGGGAAGAAGGCCUUCGGGUUGUAAACCGCUUUUGGCAGGAACGAAACGGUGUCCGCUAAUACCGGGCGCUAAUGACGGUACCUGCAGAAUAAGCACCGGCUAACUACGUG
Molecule: ribosomal RNA, 492 nt
Filed under: uncultured bacterium
Lineage: Bacteria
Description: partial 16S ribosomal RNA
Rfam family: Bacterial small subunit ribosomal RNA
Source: RNAcentral